CCCGCACAAGCGGUGGAGCAUGUGGUUUAAUUCGACGCAAUGCGAAGAACCUUACCAGGGCUUGACAUCCCCUGACCGCGUAUGAAAGUACGUUUUCACCCUCGGGUGACAGGGAGACAGGUGGUGCAUGGUUGUCGUCAGCUCGUGUCGUGAGAUGUUGGGUUAAGUCCCGCAACGAGCGCAACCCCUACGUUUAGUUGCUAACAGGUGAAGCUGAGCACUCUAGACGAACUGCCGUUGACAAAACGGAGGAAGUGGGGAUGACGUCAAAUCAUCAUGCCCCUUAUGUUCUGGGCUACACACGUGCUACAAUGGCCGGUACAGACGGACGCAAAGCCGCGAGGUGGAGCAAAUCCUAAAAAGCCGGUCUCAGUUCGGAUUGCAGGCUGCAAUUCGCCUGCAUGAAGUCGGAAUCGCUAGUAAUCGCAGGUCAGCAUACUGCGGUGAAUACGUUCCCGGGCCUU
Molecule: ribosomal RNA, 464 nt
Filed under: uncultured Pelotomaculum sp.
Lineage: Bacteria; Bacillati; Bacillota; Clostridia; Eubacteriales; Desulfotomaculaceae
Description: bacterial SSU rRNA
Rfam family: Bacterial small subunit ribosomal RNA
Source: RNAcentral